GAUGAAGAACGUAGCGAAAUGCGAUAAGUAAUGUGAAUUGCAGAAUUCAGUGAAUCAUCGAAUCUUUGAACGCACAUUGCGCCCCCUGGUAUUCCGGGGGGCAUGCCUGUUCGAGCGUCAUUUCACCACUCAAGCCUCGCUUGGUAUUGGGCAACGCGGUCCGCCGCGUGCCUCAAAUCGACCGGCUGGGUCUUCUGUCCCCUAAGCGUUGUGGAAACUAUUCGCUAAAGGGUGUUCGGGAGGCUACGCCGUAAAACAACCCCAUUUCUAAGGUUGACCUCGGAUCAGGUAGGGAUACCCGCUGAACUUAAGCAUAUCAAUAAAGCGGAGGA
This 332-nucleotide unclassified non-coding RNA is filed under the name soil metagenome. Its description in RNAcentral is "partial contains 5.8S ribosomal RNA, internal transcribed spacer 2, and large subunit ribosomal RNA". The stretch from base 1 to 120 matches the Rfam family "5.8S ribosomal RNA", at positions 35 to 154 of the family's 154-position model. The record is from RNAcentral.